This 497-nucleotide ribosomal RNA is filed under the name uncultured bacterium. RNAcentral's name for it is "partial 16S ribosomal RNA". It matches the Rfam family "Bacterial small subunit ribosomal RNA", at positions 28 to 507 of the family's 1533-position model. The record is from RNAcentral.
GAUGAACGCUGGCGGCGUGCCUAAUACAUGCAAGUCGAGCGAACGGACGAGAAGCUUGCUUCUCUGACGUUAGCGGCGGACGGGUGAGUAACACGUGGAUAACCUACCUAUAAGACUGGGAUAACUUCGGGAAACCGGAGCUAAUACCGGAUAAUAUAUUGAACCGCAUGGUUCAAUAGUGAAAGACGGUUUUGCUGUCACUUAUAGAUGGAUCCGCGCCGCAUUAGCUAGUUGGUAAGGUAACGGCUUACCAAGGCGACGAUGCGUAGCCGACCUGAGAGGGUGAUCGGCCACACUGGAACUGAGACACGGUCCAGACUCCUACGGGAGGCAGCAGUAGGGAAUCUUCCGCAAUGGGCGAAAGCCUGACGGAGCAACGCCGCGUGAGUGAUGAAGGUCUUCGGAUCGUAAAACUCUGUUAUUAGGGAAGAACAAAUGUGUAAGUAACUAUGCACGUCUUGACGGUACCUAAUCAGAAAGCCACGGCUAACUACGUG